Molecule: ribosomal RNA, 330 nt
Filed under: uncultured bacterium
Lineage: Bacteria
Description: bacterial SSU rRNA
Rfam family: Bacterial small subunit ribosomal RNA
Source: RNAcentral
GUCUGAUGUGAAAGCCCUGGGCUCAACCCAGGAAGUGCACUGGAUACUGGCAGACUUGAAUACGGGAGAGGGUAGUGGAAUUCCUAGUGUAGGAGUGAAAUCCGUAGAUAUUAGGAGGAACACCGGUGGCGAAGGCGGCUACCUGGACCGAUAUUGACGCUGAGACGCGAAAGCGUGGGUAGCAAACAGGAUUAGAUACCCUGGUAGUCCACGCCGUAAACGAUGAGAACUAGGUGUUGCGGGUAUUGACCCCUGCAGUGCCGCAGCUAACGCAUUAAGUUCUCCGCCUGGGAAGUACGGUCGCAAGACUAAAACUCAAAGGAAUUGACG